This 410-nucleotide unclassified non-coding RNA is filed under the name Isodon ramosissimus. RNAcentral describes it as "partial contains external transcribed spacer and small subunit ribosomal RNA". The record is from RNAcentral. Lineage: Eukaryota; Viridiplantae; Streptophyta; Magnoliopsida; Lamiales; Lamiaceae.
AGUGGUGUUCGGCUUAUGUGGGAAUGUUGGAUCCCUGUUCCAGGCGGCGAUAGCACCUCCGCUUGGCCUCUUUAUUCGUCGGCACAAACUCGGGAUCAUUCGCGUUCGAUUAUCUUGUGUUGCAUUCCCAUUGUGAGGGCAUUUGUUCGGCUGAAUGGGUCCCAUCUCUGUCUUGUGUCGACAGCCCCUAGAGGGCGGCCGGCGCGGGGUAGAUCUCAUGGUGCAUGCUGCGUCCGGCACCGCAUUGAGCCGCACAUUGCUGCACGAGCGUUUUGGUCGUUAAGUUGUGAUGCAUCGCCCGUUGCCUUGGGUAUGGAACAUCGGGUGGGUACAUGGCCUGUUUGGCCCCCGAUCGCCAUGACAACACGUUCUAUGCUUCUUGCGAACGACCGUCGUCGGUGCACCCGCGC